This 585-nucleotide ribosomal RNA is filed under the name Cyphellophora laciniata. RNAcentral's name for it is "eukaryotic LSU rRNA". The stretch from base 198 to 350 matches the Rfam family "5.8S ribosomal RNA". Lineage: Eukaryota; Fungi; Ascomycota; Eurotiomycetes; Chaetothyriales; Cyphellophoraceae. The record is from RNAcentral.
GCUUUGGCUAGAGUCUCUUUCGUGCCCGACCUCCAACCCUUUGUCUACCUGACCAGAUGUUGCUUCGGCAGGCCCGCCGCCCCGCGAGGGGCAGCCGCCGGGGGUCCUUACCGGCCCCGGGUCCGUGCCUGUCGAUGGCCCUUCUAAAACUCUUGCUUAAACGUGUCGUCUGAGUAAAACAAACAAAAUAAAAACAAAACUUUCAACAACGGAUCUCUUGGUUCUGGCAUCGAUGAAGAACGCAGCGAAAUGCGAUAAGUAAUGCGAAUUGCAGAAUCCGUGAGUCAUCGAAUCUUUGAACGCACAUUGCGCCCUCUGGUAUUCCGGGGGGCAUGCCUGUUCGAGCGUCAUUAUCACCCCUCAAGCCCGGCUUGUUGUUGGACGUCGGCGGCGGCCUUUAGUGGCGUACCGCCCGUCUCAAAGAUAAUGACGGCGUCUGUGAGGACACCUGUACACUGAGCUUUCGGGCACGUACUAGGCUGAUACUUGCAGACCCGGUCUUCGGGUUCGCUUCGGCGUCCCCAACUUUUUUACCAAGGUUGACCUCGGAUCAGGUAGGAAUACCCGCUGAACUUAAGCAUAUCA